This is a non-coding RNA of Malus domestica (apple), 799 nucleotides long. Lineage: Eukaryota; Viridiplantae; Streptophyta; Magnoliopsida; Rosales; Rosaceae. The record is from RefSeq and is a predicted model, not a curated record.
UGUCCUCUUGGAUUAGGCACUGUUUGACUAGGAAAUUUGCCUUUUUCUCUGUCUGAAAUCUGUGCAGCUAGCUGCCCAAAUUGUUGCUCCAAACUUUUAAUUGAUGCUUUAACAUUUUGAAUUCUUUGAUUGCUGCCUUCCAUGAAUGUUUGUGUUGUAGCUGCCAGUUUAGAAAGUUGAUCUUCCAAGGAUGGUUUUGAUGGCACAAAAGGUUUUUGUACAUGCUGGAAUGGUUUUGAAUUAUUCUGAUUAUCACCCCAUUUGAAAUUAGGAUGAUCCCUCCAUCCUGGAUUGUAAUGAGUUGCAUAUGCAUCAUUCCUAGGCCUUUGAUAGCUGUUCAUCAUAUUAACAUGUUGCUCCACAAGCUCUGGACAUAUUAGGAGAACCUGCUGAUAACUCAAAAAUGCCCCUUUUCUGUGAAUGUUCUGCUGCCCAUUGUUGAGAUUCUGUAGCUAUUGUAUCAAAUAAUUCAAAUGCUUCUCUUGCAAAUUUAUUUGACAAUGAACCCCCAGCUGAGGCAUUAACAUGGCUUUUGGAUGUAGGAUUAAGCCCAUCAAAGAAAAUAUUCAUUUGUGUAUCUGGAUGAAUAUUAACAUGUGGACAUUUUAUAUACAUCUCUGUAUAUCUCUCCCACUCUUCAUGAAAUUCUUCGUUUGGCUUUUGAGUGAAUGUCAUAAUCUCCCUCUUGUAAUUCAAUGUCUUGGAUGUCGGAUAAUAUUUGUUCAGGAAUCUUGUAUGCAAUUGUUGCCAAGUAGUAAUGCUAUUAGCUGGUAGAGUGAAUAACCAAGUUUCUGCCUUA